RNAcentral lists this non-coding RNA (21 nucleotides) under Caenorhabditis elegans. Lineage: Eukaryota; Metazoa; Nematoda; Chromadorea; Rhabditida; Rhabditidae. The record is from RNAcentral.
UUGGAAUCGUCACUUUCUGCU